RNAcentral lists this ribosomal RNA (253 nucleotides) under uncultured Lactobacillus sp. Its description in RNAcentral is "partial 16S ribosomal RNA". It matches the Rfam family "Bacterial small subunit ribosomal RNA", at positions 118 to 354 of the family's 1533-position model. Lineage: Bacteria; Bacillati; Bacillota; Bacilli; Lactobacillales; Lactobacillaceae. The record is from RNAcentral.
CGGGUUAACCUCGACCCAAGAGAUCGGGAUAACACCUGGAAACAGAUGCUAAUACCGGAUAACAACAGAUGAUGCCUAUCAACUGUUUAAAAGAUGGUUCUGCUAUCACUCUUGGAUGGACCUGCGGUGCAUUAGCUAGUUGGUAGGGUAACGGCCUACCAAGGCGAUGAUGCAUACGCCGACGUUGACGAGACUGAAUCGGUCCACAUUGGGACUGAGACGACGGCCCAAACUCCUACGGGAGGCAGCAGGC